UACGGGGGGGGCAAGCGUUGUUCGGAAUUACUGGGCGUAAAGGGCUCGUAGGUGGCCAACUAAGUCGGACGUGAAAUCCCUCGGCUUAACCGGGGAACUGCGUCCGAUACUGGUUGGCUUGAGUUUGGGAGAGGGAUGCGGAAUUCCAGGUGUAGCGGUGAAAUGCGCAGAUAUCAGGAGGAACACCGGUGGCGAAGGCGGAUCUCUGGGCCAACACUGACGCUCAUGCACGAAAGCGUGGGGAGCAAACAGG
Molecule: ribosomal RNA, 253 nt
Filed under: uncultured bacterium
Lineage: Bacteria
Description: partial 16S ribosomal RNA
Rfam family: Bacterial small subunit ribosomal RNA
Source: RNAcentral